This 376-nucleotide ribosomal RNA is filed under the name Rhizobium sp. RNAcentral describes it as "bacterial SSU rRNA". It matches the Rfam family "Bacterial small subunit ribosomal RNA", at positions 29 to 434 of the family's 1533-position model. Lineage: Bacteria; Pseudomonadati; Pseudomonadota; Alphaproteobacteria; Hyphomicrobiales; Rhizobiaceae. The record is from RNAcentral.
AACGAACGCUGGCGGCAGGCUUAACACAUGCAAGUCGAGCGCCCCGCAAGGGGAGCGGCAGACGGGUGAGUAACGCGUGGGAAUCUACCGAGCCCUGCGGAAUAGCUCCGGGAAACUGGAAUUAAUACCGCAUACGCCCUACGGGGGAAAGAUUUAUCGGGGUUUGAUGAGCCCGCGUUGGAUUAGCUAGUUGGUGGGGUAAAGGCCUACCAAGGCGACGAUCCAUAGCUGGUCUGAGAGGAUGAUCAGCCACAUUGGGACUGAGACACGGCCCAAACUCCUACGGGAGGCAGCAGUGGGGAAUAUUGGACAAUGGGCGCAAGCCUGAUCCAGCCAUGCCGCGUGAGUGAUGAAGGCCCUAGGGUUGUAAAGCUCU